Molecule: ribosomal RNA, 503 nt
Filed under: uncultured Bacillota bacterium
Lineage: Bacteria; Bacillati; Bacillota
Description: bacterial SSU rRNA
Rfam family: Bacterial small subunit ribosomal RNA
Source: RNAcentral
GGCAAGCGUUGUCCGGAAUUAUUGGGCGUAAAGCGCGCGCAGGCGGUCCUUUAAGUCUGAUGUGAAAGCCCACGGCUCAACCGUGGAGGGUCAUUGGAAACUGGGGGACUUGAGUACAGAAGAGGAAAGCGGAAUUCCACGUGUAGCGGUGAAAUGCGUAGAGAUGUGGAGGAACACCAGUGGCGAAGGCGGCUUUCUGGUCUGUAACUGACGCUGAGGCGCGAAAGCGUGGGGAGCAAACAGGAUUAGAUACCCUGGUAGUCCACGCCGUAAACGAUGAGUGCUAAGUGUUGGGGGGUUUCCGCCCCUCAGUGCUGCAGCUAACGCAUUAAGCACUCCGCCUGGGGAGUACGGUCGCAAGACUGAAACUCAAAGGAAUUGACGGGGGCCCGCACAAGCGGUGGAGCAUGAGGUUUAAUUCGAAGCAACGCGAAGAACCUUACCAGGUCUUGACAUCCCGGUGACCACUAUGGAGACAUAGUUUCCCCUUCGGGGGCAACGGU